GAUGAACGCUGACAGCAUGCUUAACACAUGCAAGUCAACUUGAACUUCGGUUUGGGUGGCGGACGGGUGAGUAACGCGUAAAGAACUUGCCUCACAGCUAGGGACAACAUUUGGAAACGAAUGCUAAUACCUGAUAUUAUGAUUUUAGGGCAUCCUAGAAUUAUGAAAGCUAUAUGCGCUGUGAGAGAGCUUUGCGUCCCAUUAGCUAGUUGGAGAGGUAACGGCUCACCAAGGCGAUGAUGGGUAGCCGGCCUGAGAGGGUGAACGGCCACAAGGGGACUGAGACACGGCCCUUACUCAUACGGGAGGCAGCAGUGGGGAAUAUUGGACAAUGGACCAAGAGUCUGAUCCAGCAAUUCUGUGUGCACGAUGAAGUUUUUCGGAAUGUAAAGUGCUUUCAGUUGGGAAGAAAAAAAUGACGGUACCAACAGAAGAAGUGACGGCUAAAUACGUG
This 454-nucleotide ribosomal RNA is filed under the name uncultured bacterium. Its description in RNAcentral is "partial 16S ribosomal RNA". It matches the Rfam family "Bacterial small subunit ribosomal RNA", at positions 28 to 507 of the family's 1533-position model. The record is from RNAcentral.